RNAcentral lists this ribosomal RNA (396 nucleotides) under uncultured bacterium. RNAcentral describes it as "partial 16S ribosomal RNA". It matches the Rfam family "Bacterial small subunit ribosomal RNA", at positions 523 to 918 of the family's 1533-position model. The record is from RNAcentral.
AUACGUAGGGGGCGAGCGUUGUCCGGAAUGAUUGGGCGUAAAGGGCGCGUAGGCGGCCCGGUAAGUCUGGAGUGAAAGUCCUGUUUUUAAGAUGGGAAUUGCUUUGGAAACUGUUUGGCUGGAGUGCGGGAGGGGUAAGCGGAAUUCCUAGUGUAGCGGUGAAAUGCGUAGAUAUUAGGAGGAACACCGGUGGCGAAGGCGGCUUACUGGACCGUAACUGACGUUGAGGCUCGAAGGCGUGGGGAGCAAACAGGAUUAGAUACCCUGGUAGUCCACGCGGUAAACGAUGAUCACUAGGUGUCCGUGGGUAUGACCCAUGGGUGCCGCAGCCAACGCAAUAAGUGAUCCACCUGGGGAGUACGUUCGCAAGAAUGAAACUCAAAUGAAUUGGCGGGG